RNAcentral lists this long non-coding RNA (1125 nucleotides) under Junco hyemalis (dark-eyed junco). RNAcentral's name for it is "lncRNA (ENSJHYG00000013371.1)". The record is from RNAcentral. Lineage: Eukaryota; Metazoa; Chordata; Aves; Passeriformes; Passerellidae.
UUCCGGCCCCGCCCUUUCCGGCGGCGCGCGGGGCCGCGGGGCUGCACCAUGAGCUCAGGUCAGGAACCGGCACCGGGAGCGGGAUCCGGGAAUGGGAUCCGGGAAGGGAUCGGGGUCGGGAAUGGGAUGAGGGGUCGGGGUCGGGGUCAGGGACCGGGACCCCCCGAGUGCCCGGAGCCCCCCGGACCCCAAAGCGCCGCCGGGGGCUCCCGGGGCCGCUCCAGCCCAGCCCGGGGGGCGGGACCCUCGCAGCUCCACUGCCGUUUAUUCCCAUUUAUUCCCAUGUGUCCCCAUUUAUUCCCCUUUUAUUCCCAUUUAUUCCCCUUUUAUUCCCAUUUAUUCCCCUUUUAUUCCCCAUUUAUUCCCAUGUGUCCCCAUUUAUUCCCCUUUUAUUCCCAUUUAUUCCCCUUUUAUUCCCAUUUAUUCCCAUGUGUUCCCAUUUAUUCCCGUUUAUUCCUAUUUAUCCCCACGUAUUUCCAUUUAUUCCCAUUGAUUUCGCUUUAUUAUUUUGCUUUUCUUCUAAAAUUUUGCUUUUUAAUUAUGCCUCAUUAUGCUUUUUUUAUUUUUUAAUUUUGCUUUAUUUUGUUACCCUUUUUUUAAAUUCUGUAGUUUUAUUUUGUUUUAAUUCUCUUUAUAAUUCUGCUUUAUUUGACUUAAUUUUAUUUUGCUUUCUUGCUUCCUUGCUUUGCUUUCUUUUGUGUCUUGUUUUUUUACUUUCACUUUUUAUUUUUAUAUUUGGCAUCAUUAUUUUGCUGUAGUUUUGUUUCCUGACUUUGUUUUUCUGCUUUUUAACUGUGCUUUAUUUUGCUUUUUCCUUUCCUUUGUUUGUUUUUUCACUUCACUUUUCUUUAUUAUUUUCCUAUAUUUUGUUUUUACAUUUUAAUUUUUCUCCUUUUUAUUACUCCAAUUCAUUUUGCCUUUUAUCUUUUGCUUUAUUUCACUUUUUAAAAUUCCAUUUCUCUUUUAUUUCACUUUAUUUUGCUUUUUAAUUUUGUUCCGUUUCUCUUUUAUUUCGCUUUAUUGAGCUCCACUUCCCUUUUUAGUUUUGCUUCACUUCCCUUUUUAGUUGGCUUUAUUUCCGUAUUUUAUUUUGCUUUUUUUCCCAUUUUUUGUCCCAUUUCUUUC